Molecule: long non-coding RNA, 1293 nt
Filed under: Equus asinus (donkey)
Lineage: Eukaryota; Metazoa; Chordata; Mammalia; Perissodactyla; Equidae
Description: lncRNA (ENSEASG00005037353.1)
Source: RNAcentral
GAUCAAAGUGAGCUCGUGGCAUUUUUAUGAGAUCAACUUCAGUGCCUCUUUACUUGUAAUCAGACGCCUGGGUCGAAAAUGCAAAAGGGAACAGCCCAUCAAUCCAAAAAGGAAAAGGAGAGAGAGAGAGAGAAAGAGAGAGAGAGAGAGAGAAAGAGAUGUGGAGUGAAAAAAUUCAGGUGACACAUAGCAAGAUUCUGGUCACUAACAAAAAAGAUCCUUUGCCUGCAGCAAGAAUGGUUUGUAGGUCUGUCCCAGCCUCCAGGCCCUGCCGUCUGCCUGCACAUUUCCCCCAAUUUCCCGGAGCCAGGAGCCUGACUCGCCUGUGUUCUGAAGCUUGAUCCAAAACCUUCCACAGUGUGACACUGUACAUGGGAACACAGGCUGGGAGGGCUCCCGGCAAAGAGGCCUGGCAGCUCCACUGACCACCCCUACUGCUCCUGACUGAUCCCCUCUGGGCCCCAGGCCCCACUUCAGGUCCCAGAGAGCCCUUAGGCACCCUCAGCCAGUGCUACCCUGGAGGAAAAGGAUCAAGGAUUCCACUUCAGGCUCCUCUCUCCGGGCGUCUUUGGUUUGGCGAGCCUGCCGGCUGCCCAGAGCCCAGGCCGCCGCCGCUGCUGCUCCGGAACUCCCUUUCCCUCCAGCGCGCCGCCUCACUCUCGCCGUCUCCCUGCCUCCCUCCAUCCUACCACUGCCCCAGCUCUCAGACCAACAAAUAUCUAGUAUACUUGUUUCUCCGCACCCAAGGCCUCGGCUGAGCCGGCUCAGCGCUCUGGGAUCGCUGCCGGAUCCCCGGGUCCUUGCGCGGGCGCCCUUCGCUCCCACUCCUGCCGGCGGCAGGCUCUUCCUUUACUCCUUGCCGGGUUAAAAUGCUUCUCUCUCGCUUUCCUGCCUCUCCCCCUUUCUUUCCGCCUCUGGAUGUGAGAAAUAAAUAAAUCCAAGCCUCCUACCCCAUCAACCCUCCCCACUCGUGCUGCCUCACUUGUCCUCCUUACCGAAUGUACCGCCUUGUUUUCAGAAGGAAAUCUUAAUAGACAUUUAAGCUGUAAAUGAACUUUUUCUUUGUGACGGCUAAUUUUCUCUCAAAUUUACACCCUGCUCCGUUUCGUGGUGAAAUAGCAGGGAGUUAGAAGUCUGCUGUAGAGGAGGAGGGGAGUGGGGAGCUCAGGGUUACAAGGCAGUGGCGAGAGAGACGCAAGAUCGAGAGAUAGAGAGAGAAAAGAGGCGUCGGCAUGGGGAGAGGAGAGAGAGGAGGGAGAGAGAGGGAGGGAGGGAGAGAGAAGGAAGGUGGGA